This 332-nucleotide ribosomal RNA is filed under the name uncultured bacterium. Its description in RNAcentral is "bacterial SSU rRNA". It matches the Rfam family "Bacterial small subunit ribosomal RNA", at positions 173 to 507 of the family's 1533-position model. The record is from RNAcentral.
AUAUGUCCUUGGAGUAGAUUCAAUGAUGAAAGAUUUAUCGGUUAUGGAUGGGGAUGCGUAAGAUUAGGUAGUAGGCGGGGUAACGGCCCACCUAGCCGACGAUCUUUAGGGGUUCUGAGAGGAAGGUCCCCCACACUGGUACUGAGACACGGACCAGACUCCUACGGGAGGCAGCAGUGAGGAAUAUUGGUCAAUGGGCGGAAGCCUGAACCAGCCAAGUAGCGUGAAGGAUUACAGCCCUACGGGUUUUAAACUUCUUUUAUAUAAGAGUAAUGUGCACUACGUGUAGUGUAUUGCAAGUAUUAUAUGAAUAAGCAUCGGCUAACUCCGUG